Molecule: ribosomal RNA, 265 nt
Filed under: uncultured bacterium
Lineage: Bacteria
Description: partial 16S ribosomal RNA
Rfam family: Bacterial small subunit ribosomal RNA
Source: RNAcentral
UCCUACGGGGGGCAGCAGUGAGGAAUAUUGGUCAAUGGCCGGAAGGCUGAACCAGCCAAGCCGCGUGAGGGAGGAAGGCGCAGAGCGUCGCAGACCUCUUUUGCCGGGGGACAAAAGGCCGGACUCGUCCGGUCCUGAGGGUACCCGGAGAAAAAGCAUCGGCUAACUCCGUGCCAGCAGCCGCGGUAAUACGGAGGAUGCGAGCGUUAUCCGGAUUCAUUGGGUUUAAAGGGUGCGCAGGCGGGCCUUUAAGCCGGCGGUGAAA